GCGCUGAAAGAGGAGUCCGCGGCCGAUUAGCUAGUUGGCGGGGUAACGGCCCACCAAGGCGAAGAUCGGUAGCCGGCCUGAGAGGGCACACGGCCACACUGGCACUGAAACACGGGCCAG
Molecule: ribosomal RNA, 120 nt
Filed under: uncultured bacterium
Lineage: Bacteria
Description: partial 16S ribosomal RNA
Rfam family: Bacterial small subunit ribosomal RNA
Source: RNAcentral